AUUGAACGCUGGCGGAAUGCUUUACACAUGCAAGUCGAACGGCAGCACGGACUUCGGUCUGGUGGCGAGUGGCGAACGGGUGAGUAAUGUAUCGGAACGUGCCCAGUCGUGGGGGAUAACGUAGUGAAAAUUACGCUAAUACCGCAUACGAUCUAUGGAUGAAAGCGGGGGAUCGCAAGACCUCGCGCGAUUGGAGCGGCCGAUAUCAGAUUAGGUAGUUGGUGGGGUAAAGGCCCACCAAGCCAACGAUCUGUAGCUGGUCUGAUAGGACGACCAGCCACACUGGAACUGAGACACGGUCCAGACUCCUACGGGAGGCAGCAGUGGGGAAUUUUGGACAAUGGGCGAAAGCCUGAUCCAGCCAUUCCGCGUGCAGGAUGAAGGCCCUCGGGUUGUAAACUGCUUUUGUACAGAACGAAAAGGUUUCUACUAAUACUAGGAGCUCAUGACGGUACUGUAAGAAUAAGCACCGGCUAACUACGUGCCAGCCGCCGCGGUAA
Molecule: ribosomal RNA, 500 nt
Filed under: uncultured bacterium
Lineage: Bacteria
Description: partial 16S ribosomal RNA
Rfam family: Bacterial small subunit ribosomal RNA
Source: RNAcentral